GGGCCUAUAGCUCAGUUGGUUAGAGCGUCCGACUCAUAAUCGGCAGGUCCCAGGUUCGAGUCCUGGUGGGCCCACCA
RNAcentral lists this transfer RNA (77 nucleotides) under Gammaproteobacteria bacterium. RNAcentral's name for it is "tRNA-Met". It matches the Rfam family "tRNA". From Rfam's summary of the family: Transfer RNA (tRNA) molecules are approximately 80 nucleotides in length. Their secondary structure includes four short double-helical elements and three loops (D, anti-codon, and T loops). RNAcentral also lists the same sequence under 1 other name. The record is from RNAcentral. Lineage: Bacteria; Pseudomonadati; Pseudomonadota; Gammaproteobacteria.